This 375-nucleotide ribosomal RNA is filed under the name uncultured organism. RNAcentral's name for it is "bacterial SSU rRNA". It matches the Rfam family "Bacterial small subunit ribosomal RNA", at positions 526 to 896 of the family's 1533-position model. The record is from RNAcentral.
CGGGGGGAGCAAGCGUUGUUCGGAUUUACUGGGCGUAAAGGGCGCGUAGGCGGCCACCGCAAGUCGACUGUGAAAUCUCCGGGCUUAACCCCGGAAAGGUCAGCCGAUACUGCGGGGCUAGAGUGCAGAAGGGGCAACUGGAAUUCUCGGUGUAGCGGUGAAAUGCGUAGAUAUCGAGAGGAACACCUGCGGCGAAGGCGGGUUGCUGGGCUGACACUGACGCUGAUGCGCGAAAGCUAGGGGAGCGAACGGGAUUAGAUACCCCGGUAGUCCUAGCCUUAAACGAUGAAUGCUUGGUGUCUGGGGUUUUAUAGUCCCCGGGUGCCGUCGCUAACGCUUUAAGCAUUCCGCCUGGGGAGUACGGUCGCAAGACUG